RNAcentral lists this ribosomal RNA (156 nucleotides) under Eptatretus burgeri (inshore hagfish). RNAcentral's name for it is "5.8S ribosomal RNA (ENSEBUG00000000034.1)". It matches the Rfam family "5.8S ribosomal RNA". From Rfam's summary of the family: 5.8S ribosomal RNA (5.8S rRNA) is a component of the large subunit of the eukaryotic ribosome. Lineage: Eukaryota; Metazoa; Chordata; Myxini; Myxiniformes; Myxinidae. The record is from Rfam by way of RNAcentral.
CAGCAUGUGCAGUGGAUCGCUCGGCUCGUGCGUCGAUGAAAAACACAGCCAACUGAAAGAACCGGUGUGAAUUGCAGGAUACACUGAUCAUCGAUACGUUGAACACACGUUGAGGCUCCAGGCUACACACCCGGGGCCACAACUGUCUGAGGGUCG